CAACUUUCAACAACGGAUCUCUUGGCUCUCGCAUCGAUGAAGAACGCAGCGAAAUGCGAUAAGUAAUGUGAAUUGCAGAAUUCAGUGAAUCAUCGAAUCUUUGAACGCAAAUUGCGCCCUUUGGUAUUCCGAAGGGCAUGCCUGUUUGAG
This 150-nucleotide ribosomal RNA is filed under the name Bullera sp. TY-182. RNAcentral describes it as "5.8S ribosomal RNA". It matches the Rfam family "5.8S ribosomal RNA". Rfam says of the family: 5.8S ribosomal RNA (5.8S rRNA) is a component of the large subunit of the eukaryotic ribosome. It is transcribed by RNA polymerase I as part of the 45S precursor that also contains 18S and 28S rRNA. Functionally, it is thought that 5.8S rRNA may be involved in ribosome translocation. The record is from RNAcentral. Lineage: Eukaryota; Fungi; Basidiomycota; Tremellomycetes; Tremellales; Bulleraceae.